This 527-nucleotide small RNA is filed under the name Pan troglodytes (chimpanzee). Its description in RNAcentral is "processed transcript". Lineage: Eukaryota; Metazoa; Chordata; Mammalia; Primates; Hominidae. The record is from RNAcentral.
ACGCUGGAGCCGGAACAGUCAGGGAGCAGAGAGCUGGACACGGGGCUUGGGGCUCAGGCAGUCGGCCUCCGGGUCUCCAAGGUGAAGCAGGAAGUGGGUGGUCGGGGCCGGGUGGUGGCUGAGGGCAGGGGCCACAGCGGUGCCGCCCACAGGAUGCCCUCACCGUGGUGGUGGAUGACCUCCGCCUGUGCUCUGUGAAGCCGUGUGAGGACAUCGAGCGGAGGUUCUGCUUCGAGGUGCUGUCACCCACCAAGUGAGGAGGCCCAGCCCAGGGUGGGGUGGGGGGCGUACCUGCCCACCGGAGCUGACGCCCGCCCCUCCACUGCCUGCAGGAGCUGCAUGCUGCAGGCUGACUCCGAGAAGCUGCGGCAAGCCUGGGUCCAGGCUGUGCAGGCCAGCAUCGCCUCCGCCUACCGCGAGAGCCCUGACAGUUGCUAUAGCGAGAGGCUGGACCGCACAGCAUCCCCGUCCACGAGCAGCAUCGACUCCGCCACCGACACUCGGGAGCGCGGCGUGAAGGGCGAGAG